AACGAACGCUGGCGGCAGGCCUAACACAUGCAAGUCGAGCGCGCCCUCUGAUUUUCGGAUUGGCGGGGUGAGCGGCGGACGGGUUAGUAACGCGUGGGAAUAUGCCCUUUGGUACGGAAUAGCCUCUGGAAACGGAGAGUAAUACCGUAUGAGCCCUUCGGGGGAAAGAUUUAUCGCCAAAGGAUUAGCCCGCGUUAGAUUAGGUAGUUGGUGGGGUAAUGGCCUACCAAGCCUACGAUCUAUAGCUGGUUUUAGAGGAUGAUCAGCAACACUGGGACUGAGACACGGCCCAGACUCCUACGGGAGGCAGCAGUGGGGAAUCUUGGACAAUGGGGGCAACCCUGAUCCAGCCAUGCCGCGUGAGUGAUGAAGGCCUUAGGGUCGUAAAGCUCUUUCGCCUGUGAAGAUAAUGACGGUAGCAGGUAAAGAAACCCCGGCUAACUCCGUGCCAGCCGCCGCGGUAACAC
Molecule: ribosomal RNA, 467 nt
Filed under: uncultured bacterium
Lineage: Bacteria
Description: bacterial SSU rRNA
Rfam family: Bacterial small subunit ribosomal RNA
Source: RNAcentral